UACGUAGGGGGCGAGCGUUGUCCGGAUUUAUUGGGCGUAAAGAGCUCGUAGGCGGUUUGGUAAGUCGGGUGUGAAAUCUCCACGCUCAACGUGGAGGGGCCACUCCAUACUGCCAUGACUCGAGUCCGGUAGAGGAGUGUGGAAUUCCCGGUGUAGCGGUGAAAUUCGUAGAUAUUCGGGAGAACACCAGUGGCGAAGGCGGCUCACUGGACCGGUAUUGACGCUGAGGUGCGAAAGCGUGGGGAGCAAACAGG
RNAcentral lists this ribosomal RNA (254 nucleotides) under uncultured bacterium. RNAcentral describes it as "partial 16S ribosomal RNA". It matches the Rfam family "Bacterial small subunit ribosomal RNA", at positions 524 to 776 of the family's 1533-position model. The record is from RNAcentral.